Molecule: ribosomal RNA, 468 nt
Filed under: uncultured bacterium
Lineage: Bacteria
Description: partial 16S ribosomal RNA
Rfam family: Bacterial small subunit ribosomal RNA
Source: RNAcentral
GACGAACGCUGGCGGCGUGCUUAACACAUGCAAGUCGAACGGAAAGGCCCUGCUUUUGUGGGGUGCUCGAGUGGCGAACGGGUGAGUAACACGUGAGUAACCUGCCCUUGACUUUGGGAUAACUUCAGGAAACUGGGGCUAAUACCGGAUAGGAGCUCCUGCUGCAUGGUGGGGGUUGGAAAGUUUCGGCGGUUGGGGAUGGACUCGCGGCUUAUCAGCGUGUUGGUGGGGUAUUGGCUUACCAAGGCUUUGACGGGUAGCCGGCCUGAGAGGGUGACCGGCCACAUUGGGACUGCGAUACGGCCCAGACUCCUACGGGAGGCAGCAGUGGGGAAUAUUGCACAAUGGGCGGAAGCCUGAUGCAGCAACGCCGCGUGCGGGAUGACGGCCUUCGGGUUGUAAACCGCUUUCGCCUGUGACGAAGCGUGAGUGACGGUAAUGGGUAAAGAAGCACCGGCUAACUACGUG